CUNGGCUCUCCAACCCAUUGUGAACUUACCAAACGUUCCCUCGGCGGGCUCAGCGCGCGGUGGCCUCCGGGCCUCCGGGCGUCCGCCGGGGAAAACCAAACCCUGAUUUAAUCGUAUUUCUCUGAGGGGCGAAAGCCCGAAAACAAAAUGAAUCAAAACUUUCAACAACGGAUCUCUUGGCUCUGGCAUCGAUGAAGAACGCAGCGAAAUGCGAUAAGUAAUGUGAAUUGCAGAAUUCAGUGAAUCAUCGAAUCUUUGAACGCACAUUGCGCCCGCCGGCACUCCGGCGGGCAUGCCUGUCCGAGCGUCAUUUCAACCCUCAGGCCCACCCUUCCGGGGGAGCGGGCCUGGUUCUGGGGAUCGGCGGCCCUCGCGGCCCCCGUCCCUCAAAUUCAGUGGCGGUCGCGCCGCAGCCUCCCCUGCGUAGUAGCACAACCUCGCACCGGAGAGCGGAACGACCACGCCGUAAAACACCCAAUUUUUUAAGGUUGACCUCGGAUCAGGUAGGAAUACCCGCUGAACUUAAGCAUAUCAAAGGNNCANGAUNNAAAUUACCAGAGUGCCUAGGCUUUCAACCCAUUGUUGAACUUACAAACGUUCCUCGGGGGGCUCAGGCGGGUGGGCCUCGGGCCACGGUGGUCCCCGAGGAAAACCCAAUCUUGAUUAUAAUUCUUAUCUCGCUUGAGGGGCGAAAGCCGAAAAUAAAAAUGAUCCAAAAAUUUCACACGCAGCUUCGGCUCUGCAUCGAUCAUGAAGCA
Molecule: ribosomal RNA, 758 nt
Filed under: Sarocladium strictum
Lineage: Eukaryota; Fungi; Ascomycota; Sordariomycetes; Hypocreales; Sarocladiaceae
Description: eukaryotic LSU rRNA
Rfam family: 5.8S ribosomal RNA (bases 157-310)
Source: RNAcentral